UACGUAGGGGGCAAGCGUUAUCCGGAUUUACUGGGUGUAAAGGGAGCGUAGACGGCUUUGCAAGCCAGAUGUGAAAGCCCGGGGCUCAACCCCGGGACUGCAUUUGGAACUGCAUGGCUGGAGUACAGGAGGGGCAGGCGGAAUUCCUAGUGUAGCGGUGAAAUGCGUAGAUAUUAGGAGGAACACCGGUGGCGAAGGCGGCCUGCUGGACUGUGACUGACGUUGAGGCCCGAAGGCGUGGGGAGCAAACAGG
This 253-nucleotide ribosomal RNA is filed under the name uncultured bacterium. RNAcentral's name for it is "partial 16S ribosomal RNA". It matches the Rfam family "Bacterial small subunit ribosomal RNA", at positions 524 to 776 of the family's 1533-position model. The record is from RNAcentral.